UUGAUACGUUGUUAUCCAAAUGGGAUUUGAACGAAUCAUUAACCCAACAUUAAAUGUAUUGUUAGUGAAAAGUUAUUAACAAUAAUCCUUUCUCUUAACGUUCACUAAACUCUCCCUAUCUGCCCCUCUUAACUCUGUUCUUUUUUCUUUUUCUCUGUUCUAGACCCAACCUCAACGCUGAAGCGAACUGGGUAGUAACAAUAUAAAUCUACGACGGCACCUCAGUGCAGCCAUGGCGGCGCCGUCACGAGUACUUAAAAAUCGAACUCCUAGCCACUAAAACCCUUGUAAAUUCGAAUCUAGCUAUGUAACUUUUCAAGUCAAAAAGUUCAGAGAACCCAGAUCAUCAAAUAAACAGAACAGGAAACCUAAGUUUUCAAAUCAAAAUUAAACUCAACGCAACAGCAAUUUUAUGUGACAAUCAUGGGGUUUAUGGCUUAUGAAGCGAUGUGAAGAAGGUGGUAACCUCAAAUCAUGCAAAGGAGAAGUUUAAAUACCAAACCGGAGCUAGUCCGACGUUCGACUUCGGUCAAGGCGAGUGGCUUAGCUCAGUUUAUUCAAAGUUCUAAUGACAAACUCUGAGUACACUUUGAGUCGUAUCGAGCUUUGGUCUUUGGUGAUUGGGUGUGAGUGAAAUCUCAGCAGAGUAACGGUGCGGAAUCAACUCUUUUUUAGUGGAUUUCACUCCCUUCUUAUAGAGAGGUGGUACGAGGUUCAUGUGAUGGUGUGAGCUGGCGGAUCCAGCAAAUCAUUCUGUUAGAGUAAGAUUUCCUUCUGGAUUUUGUGUGGUCCCUUGUGUGAAAGUUGUAAUUCGAAUCCAUUGCGUUGGCAAGAUCCUCACAAAAAUGCAAGAUUGUUCUCACUAGCCUCUUUACCGCAGUAACACUUGUAUCUGUCAUGGUACGACUUACUGAACAUUCUUAAGCAAUGCUUUGAGUAGACUUCGUCUUGUAGCUGGUUUUGCAUAAUACCUUGAUUCCUGUACCCUGGUUAACUGGUAAGCAACAUAUGGAGAUCCUUUGACAGGUGAUAGGAAUCAUUGCUUUGGUGAUGUCGUACUUUAUGUGUAGCAUGUUCACCAGGUAUGUUUUCUGGACCUGGAUCUUGUGAACAUAUCGGUAUCCUCUGGUUCCUCAUGCUGAAAAACUCAAUUGGAUUUUGGAUUGUGGACGUAGCUCUGUUUUCAUGCUGUUCUGUUAUUCGAAUCUUGACUUCAGAAUGCAACUUAUGACUGUACCUUUCUUGUAAUGUCAUUGGAU
This is a long non-coding RNA of Lathyrus oleraceus (garden pea), 1259 nucleotides long. RefSeq lists it as uncharacterized. Lineage: Eukaryota; Viridiplantae; Streptophyta; Magnoliopsida; Fabales; Fabaceae. The record is from RefSeq and is a predicted model, not a curated record. The transcript has 3 exons.